This is a non-coding RNA of Ciona intestinalis (vase tunicate), 386 nucleotides long. The record is from RefSeq and is a predicted model, not a curated record. NCBI's taxonomy places the organism in Eukaryota, Metazoa, Chordata, Ascidiacea, Phlebobranchia, Cionidae.
CUUAAUUCUUACUUCGUUACGCUUAACCUGGCAACAAGAGAUUGGCGCUACAAGACUGGACUGUUCCGUUGUAUGACUACUGACUAGAAAUGGUCGCAUAGGGUGGUGUAAAAAGCUGGCUAUUGCUCUUAUGCAAAGGUUAAUUAGUCAUGGGCACCGCUGUUCAGUUUCGUUGCAACUGGUGUCUUGUGUUUUAUCAACGUGUCAAUCGUAUCAGGCGUGAAGCGCCAGUUUUGUUUGAAAUUAUCCUCGCACUUUUAAUCCUAUGCAUUUUCUUAGUAAUGGACGUCGUUUGGCUGGGUCACGUGCACGCACAGGAGAUACAAGAACUUGAUGAGUUGCACUCUAGCGACCUCGAGCGGUUCCGAAAACAGUUUGAUUCACAA